This 128-nucleotide transfer RNA is filed under the name Aspergillus brasiliensis. RNAcentral's name for it is "tRNA-Pro". The record is from RNAcentral. Lineage: Eukaryota; Fungi; Ascomycota; Eurotiomycetes; Eurotiales; Aspergillaceae.
GCCCGGAUGGUCUAGUGGUAAGCUUUAUCCAACGAAAUAUUCCACAACCCUUCAUCGUCUAACAAAUUCAUAGGUAUGAUUCUCGCUUUGGGUGCGAGAGGUCCCGCGUUCGAAUCGCGGUUCGGGCC